UACGGAGGGUGCAAGCGUUAAUCGGAAUUACUGGGCGUAAAGGGCACGCAGGUGGCUUGGCUAGUCGGAUGUGAAAGCCCCGGGCUUAACUUGGGAAUUGCAUUCGAUACUGCCGAGCUAGAGUAUGGGAGAGGAAAGCGGAAUUCCCGGUGUAGCGGUGAAAUGCGUAGAUAUCGGGAGGAACAUCAGUGGCGAAGGCGGCUUUCUGGCCCAAUACUGACACUCAUGUGCGAAAGCGUGGGGAGCAAAC
This 250-nucleotide ribosomal RNA is filed under the name uncultured bacterium. Its description in RNAcentral is "partial 16S ribosomal RNA". It matches the Rfam family "Bacterial small subunit ribosomal RNA", at positions 524 to 773 of the family's 1533-position model. The record is from RNAcentral.